Erigeron canadensis is the source of this 106-nucleotide small nucleolar RNA. The record is from RefSeq and is a predicted model, not a curated record. NCBI's taxonomy places the organism in Eukaryota, Viridiplantae, Streptophyta, Magnoliopsida, Asterales, Asteraceae.
AGAUUAUGAUUAGGGCACCUUUGCAGCAACCCUUUAAACCGUUCCUAAGCAUCAUAAAGUGAUUCAUCAAAUUCCUGGCGAAAAUUGAUGAUAUCAUUUCGAGUUU